GAUGAACGCUAGCUACAGGCUUAACACAUGCAAGUCGUGGGGCAGCAUGGGGGUUGCUUGCAAUUCCUGAUGGCGACCGGCGCACGGGUGAGUAACGCGUAUCCAACCUGGCCCAUACUCGGGAAUAGCCCGGUGAAAACCGAAUUAAUGCCCGAUAUAUAUUUAGAUGGCAUCAGAAGAGUAUGAAAGAUUUAUCGGUAAGGGAUGGCGAUGCGUAGGAUUAGGUAGUCGGCGGGGUAACGGCCCACCGAGCCUACGAUCCUUAGGGGUUCUGAGAGGAAGGUCCCCCCACAUUGGAACUGAGACACGAUCCAAACUCC
Molecule: ribosomal RNA, 320 nt
Filed under: uncultured Prevotella sp.
Lineage: Bacteria; Pseudomonadati; Bacteroidota; Bacteroidia; Bacteroidales; Prevotellaceae
Description: bacterial SSU rRNA
Rfam family: Bacterial small subunit ribosomal RNA
Source: RNAcentral